Molecule: ribosomal RNA, 253 nt
Filed under: uncultured bacterium
Lineage: Bacteria
Description: partial 16S ribosomal RNA
Rfam family: Bacterial small subunit ribosomal RNA
Source: RNAcentral
UACGUAGGGGGCUAGCGUUGUCCGGAAUCAUUGGGCGUAAAGCGCGUGUAGGCGGUCCGGUAAGUCCGCUGUGAAAGUCGGGGGCUCAACCCUCGAAUGCCGGUGGAUACUGUCGGGCUAGAGUGCGGAAGAGGCGAGUGGAAUUCCCGGUGUAGCGGUGAAAUGCGCAGAUAUCGGGAAGAACACCCGUGGCGAAGGCGGUUCUCUGGGACGGUACUGACGCUGAGACGCGAAAGCGUGGGGAGCGAACAGG